UAUUGUGCUGUACCGUAAGGCUACGGCUGUACAUCCAGCGCUCUCUGAUGACGCAUGCGCAGAGCCGGGAGUUCUCUCGCUCCGCUCCGUCGAAGGACGCCAUUGCUGUGUUGUUAUUAGCUUCAUUAACUCGUUCUGUGGCAGGGAAUCCUCUCUCAUCAGAAUCUAGAGAUGAAUGAUGCCUGUUUGUCCGCACAACAGAGGAUCUUCGACCGUCUGGCUUCGAACCCGCAACCCUUUAGUCCACUUCACUGAUCCAUGAUUUACAAGUGUAAAAAUUAAGUAGGAUGCUGCGAAUACAAAUGCUAUCAGCUGCAGAAUUGGCAGAUACUUGCUGGAGCUGUAGAUUGGGAUCAUCGGUCUCACAGUAUCCAAUAAAGGACACUGAAUGGUCGAAACGAAGACAAAAAAGCUGAUAAUAUGUAAACACAAUAUAUAUGUAUGUUUUAAUGAAACAUAUUUAUGUUAUAAAUAAUAUGUAUGUUUUUUACAUGUUACCUAGCUGAUAAUAUGUAAAAAAAAAAUGAAUAAAAAAA
Uloborus diversus is the source of this 536-nucleotide long non-coding RNA. RefSeq lists it as uncharacterized. The transcript has 3 exons. NCBI's taxonomy places the organism in Eukaryota, Metazoa, Arthropoda, Arachnida, Araneae, Uloboridae. The record is from RefSeq and is a predicted model, not a curated record.